Molecule: unclassified non-coding RNA, 397 nt
Filed under: soil metagenome
Description: partial contains 5.8S ribosomal RNA, internal transcribed spacer 2, and large subunit ribosomal RNA
Rfam family: 5.8S ribosomal RNA (bases 3-122)
Source: RNAcentral
GGUGAAGAACGCAGCGAAAUGCGAUACUUGGUGUGAAUUGCAGAAUCCCGUGAACCAUCGAGUCUUUGAACGCAAGUUGCGCCCGAAGCCAUCAGGUUGAGGGCACGUCUGCCUGGGCGUCACAUAUCGUUGCUCGAUGCCUAUCGCAUUGCGAUAGGACUUAGGGCGAAUGAUGGCUUCCCGUGAGCGUUGUUGCCUCGCGGUUGGUUGAAAAUCGAAUCCUUGGUAGGGUGUGCCAUGAUGGAUGGUGGUUGAGUGAUGAUGCUCGAGACCAAUCAUGGGUAACUCCACCAGAAUUGGGCUCGGUGACCCACAUGCGUCCCUUGGAUGCUCCCUAAGGAGACCUCAGGUCAGGCGGGGCUACCCGCUGAGUUUAAGCAUAUCAAUAAGCGGAGGA